RNAcentral lists this unclassified non-coding RNA (250 nucleotides) under plant metagenome. RNAcentral's name for it is "partial contains small subunit ribosomal RNA, internal transcribed spacer 1, and 5.8S ribosomal RNA". The record is from RNAcentral.
GUAGGUGAACCUGCGGAAGGAUCAUUAUCACGUAUCCACGUAUAAACCAUUGUGAAAAGUAAACUCAAUAUUAAUCGGAAGACUUGCGGAAUGCUUUUCGAUAGAAAGAGAUGGCAACGUUUCUUUCUUUGAGAAGUUAUGCUCUGUGUGCUUUCGGGCGCUCAUUGAGCUCAAGUGAAUCGACCGAUUGUUAUUAACCAUUUAAACCCCUUUUGAUAAAUUGAACUGACUUUUCUCCUACUCCCGUCAA